Biomphalaria glabrata is the source of this 930-nucleotide long non-coding RNA. RefSeq lists it as uncharacterized. NCBI's taxonomy places the organism in Eukaryota, Metazoa, Mollusca, Gastropoda, Planorbidae. The transcript is spliced from 3 exons. The record is from RefSeq and is a predicted model, not a curated record.
AACACACUAGUCACAUAAAGGCAGAGAACUGUAAUCAUUAGCAGACCAUAAAGACGGAUGAAGUGCUUAGAAUAUAUGUAUAUUUCAAAAAGAAAAUGAUGCUUUCUUAUUCCUAAAAGUUUAUCAAUAGGAUGAAUGCCACAAAACUCACUUGUUAUGCCAGAAACUCUUCCUACAAAACUUCCAUACUAGAAUUUGUCCAGUACCUGUGAUCCUCUGAGUUGAAGGAGAAUGUGCUCCAUAAUACCUACUAGGAGCUUGCUGAUAGCUGGAAGUUCAUGAAUACUAUGUUGUCCUUGAUUUGAUGAUUCUGAAAACUACCAUUUCUGAAGACUUGAGCAAUAUUUCUAUAAUUUAAAAAAAUCUUUCAGGAAAUAUUGUGUUAAUAACAUUAAGAAAGUGAAGAUAAUAUUGUUCUUACUAAUAUUAUUGUUAUUAUUAUUAUUUAAAUAGAGAGCACAUCAUUACCAAUAUUCACUUGUCAAUAAAUGCUAGCAUUAUUCAAUUUUUAGUUACAUGUUCAAACUAUUAAAUUUUAUUAUUUAAAUUAUAGCAACUUUCUCUUUCAGUCAAACUUAAGAUAUAUUCCUGUAAAAAGUCUAUAAUAAUAAGUUAAUGUCGAUGUAGUAUUGUUCAGACACUUACAAGUUUAAUCAUCUAUACUUCACAAAAAAAAAAAAGUGUUUGAAUGGUUUUCAUUUGUUUGUACAUCAAAUAUGUAUUAAUAUAAUUAUCAUUUUUAGAUGAAACAUUAAAUACUGAAUAUGAACAUUUCAAUUUCUGAUGUAGGCCUAUUCUCAUUUCAUAAAACAAACAGAAUAUUAUCUGAAAUUUCAUCCCUUCAUGGUAACUGUAACUGGCUUCAUAAAAAAUGGAGUGAUGACUGGGUUGACUAUACAUUUUUGAAUAAAUAAUGCAUCAAUGAAUGUA